Molecule: unclassified non-coding RNA, 944 nt
Filed under: Hevea brasiliensis (rubber tree)
Lineage: Eukaryota; Viridiplantae; Streptophyta; Magnoliopsida; Malpighiales; Euphorbiaceae
Source: RNAcentral
UAUUCAUUCACUUUCAGAUUGUAAAUCAGUAUCACUUCUUGAUGCAGACUGAGAAGGCACUUUUGAAGCAAUUGAAAAGUUUCCUACACCUCUGCCUCCCAGUUUACUAAUUUUCUGAAUACAUUGAUUUUGACUUUUGGCGUGGAUAACAUUGACAAGCAAUUAUUGGAUUCACAUAUUGAUCCAUAGGCUAGUUACGGGAUUCUCGCUGCCCGCAUUUUUUAUCUUAGCUAAUCAGUUUCAACCAUGGAAGGCCAAAAGCUCCAAAUGCAUGAGAGAUCCACCAACACACAGCAGCUUUUGUGGUUCUUUGGCAUAGCAGCAUGCAUAAAGCUCCUACUGAUCCCAUCAUACCACAGCACAGACUUUGAGGUCCAUCGACAUUGGCUCGCUUUAACCCACUCACUCCCUCUCCGUCAGUGGUACUUUGAAGAGUCUAGCCCAUGGACUCUUGAUUACCCUCCAUUCUUUGCCUAUUAUGAAUGCAUUCUCUCCUUCUUUGCCCAUUUGAUUGACCCCCAAAUAGUUGACAUCCACAGAGGCCUCAAUUAUAAAUCAAACACAGUAGUCUAUUUCCAAAGGAUCAGCGUGAUUGUCUCAGAUUUGUGUCUUUUAUAUGGUGUUUAUAGAUUGACUAAGAAUUUGGAGUUCAGAAAGAGAACUUUAAUGUGUUUAUUGGUGGUUUGGUCCCCAGGCCUUAUAGUGGUGGACUCUAUGCAUUUCCAGUACAAUGGGUUUUUGCUAGGGCUAUUGAUGUUGUCCAUCUCCUACUUGCAAGAAGGGAGGGAUUUGAUGGGUGGCUUCUUUUUUGCGAUUUUAUUAUGUUUUAAGCACUUGUUUGCUGUGGCUGCACCAGUUUAUUUUGUGUACUUGUUGAGGCAUUAUUGUUGGAAAGGUUUGUUAAGAGGUUUUUGGCAGCUUAUAUCUAUGGGGAUUGUCGUCAU